GAUGAACGCUAGCUACAGGCUUAACACAUGCAAGUCGAGGGGCAUCACAAGGUAGCAAUACUGGGGUGGCGACCGGCGCACGGGUGAGUAACACGUAUCCAACCUGCCGUUUACUCUUGGAUAGCCUUCUGAAAAGGAGAUUAAUACAAGAUAGUAUCAUGAGAUCACAUGUUCACAUGAUUAAAGAAUUUCGGUAAACGAUGGGGAUGCGUUCCAUUAGAUAGUAGGCGGGGUAACGGCCCACCUAGUCUACGAUGGAUAGGGGUUCUGAGAGGAAGGUCCCCCACACUGGUACUGAGACACGGACCAGACUCCUACGGGAGGCAGCAGUGAGGAAUAUUGGUCAAUGGACGCAAGUCUGAACCAGCCAAGUAGCGUGAAGGAUGAA
RNAcentral lists this ribosomal RNA (388 nucleotides) under uncultured bacterium. RNAcentral's name for it is "bacterial SSU rRNA". It matches the Rfam family "Bacterial small subunit ribosomal RNA", at positions 28 to 412 of the family's 1533-position model. The record is from RNAcentral.